This 208-nucleotide long non-coding RNA is filed under the name Elaeis guineensis (African oil palm). RNAcentral describes it as "long non-coding RNA (EGUI_LNC064545)". Lineage: Eukaryota; Viridiplantae; Streptophyta; Magnoliopsida; Arecales; Arecaceae. The record is from RNAcentral.
UGUUGUGUGCUGUGCUUUUCUUAACUUGAGACCUACUUGGAUAUCUUCCUACAGUAAUAGAAAUCUUACCCUACGAUAUCGCCUCUCAUCCUCCCGAGUCACAUUUCAUGCCCGAUCCACCUCCAUCUGGAGCUCCACCUCACUUUGAGCUCCACCUGGCUUUUGAAGCUCCACCUCACACUGGGCUCUCCAUCAGGUAGUAAUAUCC